CACUUUGUAUCUCGUGGAUUCAUUUGCUAGUGUUAGUUACACUAACCUGUAAUCCAGUUUGGAUGAUAAGCUGAAACGCUGACCAUACCAGAACAUUAUUUAUACGUAACACCGACUUGCUAAUCAUCUCUCUUUAGGUUCUCUUCUCUUGCCUUGAUUCUUCUUGAAGUUAAGUUGGUUCUCUUUGGUCUUUGCUUGAAUGCCUAAUUGUCGGACAAUCUGGUUCCGUUCAUCUCAUAAGUUCAAAGUUGAAUUUUUUCUCUUGUAUAGGAUCACCAUAUACCAUAGUAGGCCCAAACUGAACUGUAUAUAAUAUUCCUUGUUAUUUCAGAUGAUCCAAGCGACAAUUGUACUGGAGGACAUGAUUAAAAGAGAUUACCUGAGGAACGAGUGGUGGUAUUGGUCAUCUCUU
This 412-nucleotide long non-coding RNA is filed under the name Linum usitatissimum (flax). Its description in RNAcentral is "long non-coding RNA (LUSI_LNC004097)". The record is from RNAcentral. Lineage: Eukaryota; Viridiplantae; Streptophyta; Magnoliopsida; Malpighiales; Linaceae.